GCCGCCUUCGCCACGCCCGCUCAAGAAACUACGAAAGUAAGUUGGACGGGGGCCCGCACAAGCGGUGGAGCAUGUAGGUUUUAAUUCGAUGAUACGCGAGGAACCCUUUACCGUGGGCUACAAUGUAUGUUGACGUUAUUCUAGAAAGGAUACUUUCUUCGGACAAUAUACAAGGUGCUGCAUGGUUGUCGUCAGCUCGUGCCGUGAGGUGUCGGGUUAAGUCCCGCAACGAGCGCCAACCCCUAUCUUUAGUUGCCAUCAGUUCGGCUGGGCACUCUAUGGAGACUGCCACCUAAAGUGGAGGAAGGUGGGGAUGACGUCAAGUCAGCAUGGCCCUUACGUCCGGGGCUACACACGUGCUACAAUGGCCGGUACAAAGGGUUGCGAAGCCGUGAGGUGGAGCGAAUCUCAAAAAGCCGGCCUCAGUUCGGAUUGGAGGCUGCAACUCGCCUCCAUGAAGUCGGAAUCGCUAGUAACCGCAGAUCAGCUACGUUGCGGUGAAUACGUUCCCGGGCCUU
This 518-nucleotide ribosomal RNA is filed under the name uncultured bacterium. RNAcentral describes it as "bacterial SSU rRNA". It matches the Rfam family "Bacterial small subunit ribosomal RNA", at positions 910 to 1382 of the family's 1533-position model. The record is from RNAcentral.